GAUGAACGCUGACAGAAUGCUUAACACAAGCAAGUCUUUGGCGAAGCUGUGCUCGCACAGCCUAGCCAAGGCGGACGGGUGAGUAACGCGUAAGGAACUUGCCCUGCAGUCAGGGAUAACAGACGGAAACGACUGAUAAGACCUGGUAAAGUCAGGCGGACUCAUGUCCAGCCUGAUGAAAAGAGAUGCUGCAGGAGAGCCUUGCGUCCUAUUAGCUUGUUGGUGGGGUAACGGCCCACCAAGGCGAUGAUAGGUAGCCGGCCUGAGAGGGUGGACGGCCACAAGGGGACUGAGAUACGGCCCUUACUCCUACGGGAGGCAGCAGUGGGGAAUAUUGGACAAUGGGGGCAACCCUGAUCCAGCAAUUCUGCGUGCACGAUGAAGGUUUUCGGAUUGUAAAGUGCUUUCAGCAGGGAAGAAAAAAAUGACGGUACCUGCAGAAGAAGCGACGGCUAAAUACGUG
This 463-nucleotide ribosomal RNA is filed under the name uncultured bacterium. Its description in RNAcentral is "partial 16S ribosomal RNA". It matches the Rfam family "Bacterial small subunit ribosomal RNA", at positions 28 to 507 of the family's 1533-position model. The record is from RNAcentral.